This 78-nucleotide transfer RNA is filed under the name Myotis davidii. It matches the Rfam family "tRNA". From Rfam's summary of the family: Transfer RNA (tRNA) molecules are approximately 80 nucleotides in length. The record is from Rfam by way of RNAcentral. Lineage: Eukaryota; Metazoa; Chordata; Mammalia; Chiroptera; Vespertilionidae.
GCCGGUGUGGCUCAGUGGAUAGAGCGUCAGUUGGCCUGCGGACUGAAGGGUGCCGGGUUCGAUUCCUGGUCAAGGGCA